GUCUCAAUCGUGUGGACAUCAUUGGGAAUGGAGGGAAAUAACUGACUGUAUGGUCGUUGCUUUUCAAGUUUCAAACUGACAUUCCAGGCGGGCUGUGCCUGAGCCAGCAUCUGCUUUCAGAUCUUCACAGCCUGGUCCUGGGAAGGUGGGGCCCUCAGCUUCUCCCUGGCGAGAGAGCUGCUCCUAAAGCAGCAGCAACCUGAGAGCGCGGAUGCUUAAGGGAGAGCACACAUCUGGAGCAGCAUCUAGCAGAUGGGAUGAGCUCAACAAACGACGGCCAAGAGGACCCGGCUGUGUUCGGGGCAGCCCUGGGGAAGGCUCGCACUCUGCUGACGGAUCAGUUAAAGGCUGAAACUUUCUGAACCACGGAAUAACUGGGAGAUGAAACAGGAAGCUUUAUGACACACUUGCUCGAAAAAUGACACAGGCACCGAAAACAGGACUCAGUCCCCUGCAGCACCUCUACCUGCUGCCCACAGCCGAGUGCAGGGGAAGGGCUGGCCCUGGGACCUGACUCCAUUCUGCCAUGGACUCUAAGGGCCUCCACGUUCAGUGGUGAUGUCUCUGCGAUAUUGUGGUUAUGGUCUAGUCUGGUCGGUUUCUUAUUCUCUGGCCAGUCUCUGUGUGUCUUCAUCCCUUUUCCUUCAUUAAAAGCAUAAC
Balaenoptera musculus (blue whale) is the source of this 660-nucleotide long non-coding RNA. RefSeq lists it as uncharacterized. NCBI's taxonomy places the organism in Eukaryota, Metazoa, Chordata, Mammalia, Artiodactyla, Balaenopteridae. The record is from RefSeq and is a predicted model, not a curated record. The transcript is spliced from 3 exons.